GACUGCUAAUACCGCAUAAUGUCUACGGACCAAAGGGGGCUUCGGGCUCCCGCCUUGAGAGAGGCCCAAGUGAGAUUAGCUAGUUGGUGGGGUUAAAGGCCUACCAAGGCAACGAUCUCUAGCUGUUCUGAGAGGAAGAUCAGCCACACUGGGACUGAGACACGGCCCAGACUCCUACGGGAGGCAGCAGUGGGGAAUAUUGCACAAUGGGGGAAACCCUGAUGCAGCCAUGCCGCGUGUGUGAAGAAGGCCUUCGGGUUGUAAAGCACUUUCAGUUGUGAGGAAAGGUUGGUAGUUAAUACCUGCCAGCUGUGACGUUAACAACAGAAGAAGCACCGGCUAACUCCGUG
Molecule: ribosomal RNA, 350 nt
Filed under: uncultured bacterium
Lineage: Bacteria
Description: bacterial SSU rRNA
Rfam family: Bacterial small subunit ribosomal RNA
Source: RNAcentral